This 406-nucleotide ribosomal RNA is filed under the name uncultured bacterium. RNAcentral's name for it is "partial 16S ribosomal RNA". It matches the Rfam family "Bacterial small subunit ribosomal RNA", at positions 28 to 526 of the family's 1533-position model. The record is from RNAcentral.
GACGAACGCUGGCGGCGUGCCUAAUACAUGCAAGUCGAACGAGUGGCGGACGGGUGAGUAAUGUCUGGGCAACUGCCUGAUGGAGGGGGAUAACUACUGGAAACGGUAGCUAAUACCGCAUACCAUCAGAUGUGCCCAGAUGGGAUUAGCUAGUAGGUGGGGUAAUGGCUCACCUAGGCGACGAUCCCUAGCUGGUCUGAGAGGAUGACCCGCCCCACUGGAACUGAGACAAGGUCCAGAAUCCUACGGGAGGCAGCAGUGGGGAAUAUUGCACAAUGGGGGCAAGCCUGAUGCAGGCCUGCCGGGGGGGUGAAGAAGGCCCUCGGGGUGUAAAGCACUUUCAGCGGGGAGGCGUUACCCGCAGAAGAAGCACCGGCUAACUCCGUGCCAGCAGCCGCGGUAAUUC